GUUACGUUGAGUCAUGCAGUUGCACUGAUACUGUUUGUUUACGUUUUUUUAAGUUGGUUGAAAGUGGCGUAUAAGCAUUUUAUAACAAUUAUGUGGUUGUAGGGGUGGUGAAUUUUAUGGCACGAUCUGCAGUGAAUGUUCUAUGGCAGCCAUAACAACAAUAAUAUAAACCAAGCAGGGAGGGGUUCCCAUUGUUUAUCUAGAUGAUUGUAAUACCCACCUUCAAGAAAGUUCAUAUGGUAUAUGCCUCUCCUCAGCAUACUACGGUCCUGCACCAACCUCACCCAAUAUGAUACAGGCCCUCCUUCACAAUGUCGUCCCACCAACGGGCGGGUAGUCUGCCCCAAAAAAGAUACGGUAGAGAAAUGUAAGCCGCUUCACAAGUCUCU
This is a long non-coding RNA of Pectinophora gossypiella (pink bollworm), 389 nucleotides long. RefSeq lists it as uncharacterized. The transcript has 3 exons. The record is from RefSeq and is a predicted model, not a curated record. NCBI's taxonomy places the organism in Eukaryota, Metazoa, Arthropoda, Insecta, Lepidoptera, Gelechiidae.